GGACAUUUGAUAAAGCCAUCCACAUAUAUAUCUCACUCACAUAUAUAUUCCUAAAGCACUAUGCAACCACCAUUUGCUUUCCUUUUUUAUCUUUCUUUCUUUUCUUUUCUUUUUCUGUUCUCUCUCUCUCUCUCUCUCAUUUGAAUUCUUAUUCUCAUAACAUAUACCCUACAAGGUAUCUUCAAUAUAACCACAGCCUAUUCCUUUCCUUUGUUACAUCUUCAGAAAAAGAAAAAAGAAAAUAUAUUCUCCAUGCUUGUUCCUUCACUUGGCGCCUAUACAUUUAUAUAUAUAUACAAUACAUGUUAAAGGAGGAUUUUCUUAUUUGGAUGCUUCAUUCUUAAUUUUUGCAUGGCUAGUAGUAGUUGUAGUAACAGCAGCAGCAGCAGCAGUAGUGGUAGUGUAACAUCUCCUCAUAUCACUUCUUUCACCAUCUUCUUCUUCUUCUUCUUCUUCUUCUUCUUUCUGUUAUUCACUGUUCACACUGCCAUGGGUACCAGAGAGAUGGAAGAAACACUCUCACUUGCUGCCACUAGCAGAGAUGGAAGAAACAGCAUGCAGUUUUCCACAAGAAGAUUUGGUGCACCCAAUGUAAACGCCAUUUCAAAGGCUAAAAAGGAUAAACAUUUCUAUGUUCCUCCUCAAUAUAGAGGAAGGUUUAGAGGUCAUAGAUCUCCACUGCCAUGGCAAGAAAGGAUCUUCAAUGCAGGUGCACAUGAAGUACCCAGUGGUCCAAAUCCUAUUUCUAAUAGGUGAAAACAAAAAUCCCAUACCCAGGUCACCCUCCUUAUCCAUGUUUUUGGUUUGUGUUUCUUUUUUCUUCUUCUUUUUUUCUUCUUAAUUUGGGGGCUAUAAAUAUGUAUACAGAUAAUUAGCUAUUUAUUUACUUAUAUAUAUAUAGAGAGAGAGAGAGGUCUUGGUGUUGUUAUUACUGUUAUAGCAAUGUGGGAUGAGAUCACUACAGUUCAUUCUUAUUAUUAUUGUUUCUUUUCCAAACAGAACCUAUCCUUCCAAUCAUUUAACCAUGAGGAUGUAUAUGAUAAUGAUAUCUUGGAGAAUGUCUUUUCUUGAUGUUGAAUAUGGUCAUUAUUAUGCCACAUUUCCUUCUUUAUCUGCUUCUUUUAAUAAUUCUUGUAAAUUAUCCUUAUUCACCAUGUUUUAUUUUGUUCUUGAUUAAGCUGCUUGUGUUAAUUGGCAUCUAAUUAGAAUUAAGCUUAAUUCUUUCAUAUGGCAUUGUCCAAGUUCCUUCCAAAUUGCUUGUAUAAUAUAACAAAAUCAAUACAAAUGCAUGUGGGAAUUAAUCAGUUUUUGGUUUUGGAAGAAGCUAAAAUUAAUAUUAUAGCAACCAUAUUUCACACUCUUUAAAUUGUUGAACAUUGUAUUUUCUUUUGAUAAUCAGAGAUUUAUUUUCUUAAUAAUUAGAAGGGGAAAACUUACAAAAUGGGAAAGCUACCCAAGCCAAUAGGCUUAUCCAAAUACACCCAAAAGAAUUGUUGUAAAUUGUUCAAUUUUCUGCUUCUUUUAGAUGUUUCAAUCGUAGAAGGCUAGUGUAAAUCUUGAGAUAGUGCUAUCCAAAGAAUUUGAAUGUCAAAAAUGCUACCCUAACUUCUGCAAGUUGAAAGAAAGAAACAAAUAAGGGUUUAAAGGAUUUAAAUGGGAAAAAAUAAAUAAAUAAAUUAUCUAACUUGAGAUAACGGAAGAAUUUGACAAUUACAUCCAUAAAUCUAACACUCGAAUUUUGAGUUAAAUUUUCAUCACCUUAUUUGCCAUACAAAAGAAAAAAGAAACUUAUGAGCUAAGCAAAAGAGGUAGUUGUCAUUUCAGAGGUGAUUUAUACUGUUAAUGUACACUAAAAAAAGGGGGGAGAAACAUAAUGAUUAGAAAAAAAUGGAUGUGGGUUUUGGGAAACAAGUUGAAGGAGAUGACUGAAAAUGCAAUAAUGAAAAAAAAAAAGAGAAAAAAAGAAAAAAAAAAAGAAAGAAAGAAAGCCCAAAAAUUACCAUUGUUUUGCGUGUAAAGUCAUACGGACCUGGCAUCCAAAGCUGCAGGGAAGGGUCCCUUUUUCACUUGUUCAAGUAUUUUCCAAAAACACCCCUUCUUCACUUCUUGUUACCUUCUUCUUCUUCUUCCUCUUCUUCUUCUUCUUCUUCCUGUGACUGUCUCUUUUCUUUUGUGGUAAAACUUUAAAAAGGCCUUAUCUGCCUUCUAGACUUGUUUUUUUUACCUUCUUGUUUGUAUUCUUAAGUUGUUUGUUUAUGACUGCAGCAUCUACUUUCAGUUGUUUCUUCUGUUGGCUUCCUCCUGUUUGUAUGUUUUUAAAUAUCAACUUCAAAUUUUGAGAAAGAUUGAGAUUUACCCUCUAUUUUACUUCCUUUUUU
Molecule: long non-coding RNA, 2378 nt
Filed under: Ricinus communis (castor bean)
Lineage: Eukaryota; Viridiplantae; Streptophyta; Magnoliopsida; Malpighiales; Euphorbiaceae
Description: long non-coding RNA (RCOM_LNC002528)
Source: RNAcentral